This is a non-coding RNA of Mycena latifolia, 91 nucleotides long. Lineage: Eukaryota; Fungi; Basidiomycota; Agaricomycetes; Agaricales; Mycenaceae. The record is from the annotation of a GenBank genome assembly.
GCGGACGUAGUGCACGGUGCACUACUGCCUUCAAUUUCGUGUCGAAGAAGAUUGCGAGCAGCUCACCGGGGUUCGACUCCCCGCGUCCGCC